GAUGAACGCUGGCGGCGUGCCUAACACAUGCAAGUCGAGCGAACUUCUUCGGAAGAGAGCGGCGGACGGGUGAGUAACGCGUGGGUAACCUGCCCUGUACACACGGAUAACAUACCGAAAGGUAUGCUAAUACGAGAUAAUAUGCUUUUAUCGCAUGGUAGAAGUAUCAAAGCUCCGGCGGUACAGGAUGGACCCGCGUCUGAUUAGCUAGUUGGUAAGGUAACGGCUUACCAAGGCGACGAUCAGUAGCCGACCUGAGAGGGUGAUCGGCCACAUUGGAACUGAGACACGGUCCAAACUCCUACGGGAGGCAGCAGUGGGGAAUAUUGCACAAUGGGCGAAAGCCUGAUGCAGCAACGCCGCGUGAGCGAUGAAGGCCUUCGGGUCGUAAAGCUCUGUCCUCAAGGAAGAUAAUGACGGUACUUGAGGAGGAAGCCCUGGCUAACUACGUGCCAGCCGCCGCAGUAA
RNAcentral lists this ribosomal RNA (468 nucleotides) under uncultured bacterium. RNAcentral describes it as "partial 16S ribosomal RNA". It matches the Rfam family "Bacterial small subunit ribosomal RNA", at positions 28 to 523 of the family's 1533-position model. The record is from RNAcentral.